RNAcentral lists this ribosomal RNA (114 nucleotides) under Chlamydomonas reinhardtii. RNAcentral describes it as "large subunit L3a". The record is from RNAcentral. Lineage: Eukaryota; Viridiplantae; Chlorophyta; Chlorophyceae; Chlamydomonadales; Chlamydomonadaceae.
UGAGUGCCUAAGCACUCAAUUUCGGUGCUCGGUGAAACCGAGCAUCCAAUACUAAAGAAACUUUACUGGCUUAGUACUGGGACCCCAUUUUUAGUAUACCUACAUUAUAUACAA